Molecule: ribosomal RNA, 445 nt
Filed under: uncultured bacterium
Lineage: Bacteria
Description: bacterial SSU rRNA
Rfam family: Bacterial small subunit ribosomal RNA
Source: RNAcentral
AACGAACGCUGGCGGCAGGCUUAACACAUGCAAGUCGAACGAGAACCCGCACUUCGGUGCGGCAGAAAGUGGCGCACGGGUGAGUAACACGUGGGAACCUACCCUUUGGUUCGGAAUAACCGCGGGAAACUGCGGCUAAUACCGGAUAAGCCCUUCGGGGGAAAGAUUUAUCGCCAAUGGAUGGGCCCGCGCCGGAUUAGCUAGUUGGUAGGGUAACGGCCUACCAAGGCUUCGAUCCGUAGCUGGUCUGAGAGGACGGUCAGCCACACUGGGACUGAGACACGGCCCAGACUCCUACGGGAGGCAGCAGUGGGGAAUAUUGGACAAUGGGCGCAAGCCUGAUCCAGCCAUGCCGCGUGAGUGAAGAAGGCCCUAGGGUUGUAAAGCUCUUUCAUCGGGGAAGAUAAUGACGGUACCCGAAAAAGAAGCCCCGGCUAACUCCGUG